GAGCAUGUGGUUUAAUUCGACGCAACGCGAAGAACCUUACCUGGGCUCGAAAUGUAGUGGACCGGGGUAGAAAUAUCCUUUCCCCGCAAGGGGCCGCUAUAUAGGUGCUGCAUGGCUGUCGUCAGCUCGUGUCGUGAGAUGUUGGGUUAAGUCCCGCAACGAGCGCAACCCUUAUCUCCAGUUGCUAUCAUUCAGUUGGGCACUCUGGCGAAACCGCCUCGGAUAACGGGGAGGAAGGUGGGGAUGACGUCAAGUCCUCAUGGCCUUUAUGUCCAGGGCUGCACACUUGCUACAAUGGCCGAUACAGAGGGCUGCUAUCCCGCGAGGGUGAGCGAAUCCCAAAAAGUCGGUCUCAGUUCGGAUCGGAGUCUGCAACUCGACUCCGUGAAGUCGGAGUCGCUAGUAAUCCCGGAUCAGCAACGCCGGGGUGAAUACGUUCCCGGGCCUUGUACACACCGCCCGUCACACCACGAAAGUCGGUAACACCCGAAGCCAGUGGCCCAACCGUAAGGAGGGAGCUGUCGAAGGUGGGAUCGGUGAUUGGGGUGAAGUCGUAACAAGGUAACCGUA
This 570-nucleotide ribosomal RNA is filed under the name uncultured bacterium. Its description in RNAcentral is "bacterial SSU rRNA". It matches the Rfam family "Bacterial small subunit ribosomal RNA", at positions 935 to 1504 of the family's 1533-position model. The record is from RNAcentral.